AGCCAGACUCCUACGGGAGGCAGCAGUGGGGAAUAUUGCACAAUGGGGGAAACCCUGAUGCAGCGACGCCGCGUGAGUGAAGAAGUAUUUCGGUAUGUAAAGCUCUAUCAGCAGGGAAGAAAAUGACGGUACCUGAUUAAGAAGCCCCGGCUAACUACGUGCCAGCAGCCGCGGUAAUACGUAGGGGGCAAGCGUUAUCCGGAUUUACUGGGUGUAAGGGGUGCGUAGGUGGCAGGGCAAGUCAGAUGUGAAAGCCCGGGGCCCAACCCCGGUACUGCAUUUGAAACUGUCCGGCUGGAGUGCAGGAGAGGUAAGCGGAAUUCCUAGUGUAGCGGUGAAAUGCGUAGAUAUUAGGAGGAACACCAGUGGCGAAGGCGGCUUACUGGACUGUAACUGACACUGAGGCACGAAAGCGUGGGGAGCAAACAGGAUUAGAUACCCGGGUAAC
RNAcentral lists this ribosomal RNA (448 nucleotides) under uncultured bacterium. RNAcentral's name for it is "bacterial SSU rRNA". It matches the Rfam family "Bacterial small subunit ribosomal RNA", at positions 329 to 794 of the family's 1533-position model. The record is from RNAcentral.